This 486-nucleotide ribosomal RNA is filed under the name uncultured bacterium. RNAcentral describes it as "bacterial SSU rRNA". It matches the Rfam family "Bacterial small subunit ribosomal RNA", at positions 28 to 494 of the family's 1533-position model. The record is from RNAcentral.
GACGAACGCUGGCGGCGUGCUUAACACAUGCAAGUCGAACGGACCCAAGCUUUAAGUUUACUUAGAGCUGACGGUUAGUGGCGGACGGGUGAGUAACACGUGGAUAAUCUGCCUAUGACACAGGAAUAACACUGUGAAAACGGUGCUAAUACCAGAUACACUUAUCGGGUCGCAUGUCCUGAUAAGGAAAGGAGCAAUCCGGUCAUAGAUGAGUCCGCGGCUGAUUAGCUAGUUGGUAGGGUAAAGGCCUACCAAGGCGAUGAUCAGUAGCCGGCCUGAGAGGGUGAACGGCCACACUGGGACUGAGACACGGCCCAGACUCCUACGGGAGGCAGCAGUCGAGAAUAGUCUACAAUGGCCGGAAGGCUGAUAGUGCGACGCCGCGUGAACGAGGGAGCCCUUCGGGGUGUAAGUUCUUUUCUAUACGAGCAGUGCUAUAUAUAUGGAUAGUAUAUAUAGAGGGAUAGUAGUAUAGGAAUAAGCAAC